GCUUGUCUCAAAGAUUAAGCCAUGCAUGUCUAAGUAUAAAUAACUACACAGUAAAACUGCGAAUGGCUCAUUAAAACAGUUAUAGUUUAUUUGAUACAUUUUAAAUGGAUAACUGUAGAAACACUAGAGCUAAUACAUGCUAAGACCGUAAGGUUGUAUUUAUUAGAUAUACCGAGUAGGUGAUUCAUAAUAACUUUCGGAUCGAUCUUCGGAUCGAUGCAUCAUUCAAGUUUCUGCCCUAUCAGCUUUGGAUGGUAGGGUAUUGGCCUACCAUGGCUUUAACGGGUAACGGAGAAUUAGGGUUCGAUUCCGGAGAGGGAGCCUGAGAAAUGGCUACCACAUCCAAGGAAGGCAGCAGG
Molecule: ribosomal RNA, 359 nt
Filed under: uncultured Didiniidae
Lineage: Eukaryota; Ciliophora; Litostomatea; Haptorida; Didiniidae
Description: partial small subunit ribosomal RNA
Rfam family: Eukaryotic small subunit ribosomal RNA
Source: RNAcentral